AAAGAACUACCAAGGAUUCCCCUAGUAACUGCGAGUGAAGCGGGAAAAGCUCAAAUUUAAAAUCUGGCAGUCUUUUGGCUGUCCGAGUUGUAAUUUAGAGAAGCGUCUUCCGCGCCGGACCGUGCACAAGUCUCCUGGAAUGGAGCGUCAUAGAGGGUGAGAAUCCCGUCUUUGGCAUGGACACCCGGGGCUUCUGUGAUGCGCUCUCGAAGAGUCGAGUUGUUUGGGAAUGCAGCUCAAAAUGGGUGGUGAACUCCAUCUAAAGCUAAAUAUUGGCGAGAGACCGAUAGCGAACAAGUACCGUGAGGGAAAGAUGAAAAGCACUUUGGAAAGAGAGUGAAACAGUACGUGAAAUUGUUGAAAGGGAAACGCUUGAAGUCAGUCGCGUUGAUUGAGACUCAGCCUUGCCUUGGCUUGGCAUACUUCUCAGCUGACGGGCCAGCAUCAAUUUUGUCUCUCGGAUAAUGACAAGGGAAAUGUGGCACCUUCACCGGUGUGUUAUAGUCUCCUGUCGCAUGCGAGGGGUGGGAUUGAGGAACUCAGCACGCACCUCUUGGUGUCGGGGCUUCUGCCCACGCUACGUGCUUAGGAUGUUGGCGUAAUGGCUUUAAACGACCCGUCUUGAAACACGGACCAAGGAGUCUAACAUGCCCGCGAGUGUUCGGGUGGAAAACCCGUGCGCGUAAUGAAAGUGAAAGUUGGGACCUCUAUCGUGGAGGGCACCGACGCCCGGACCAGACCUUCUGUGACGGAUCUGCGGUAGAGCGUGCAUGUUGGGACCCGAAAGAUGGUGAACUAUGCCUGAAUAGGGUGAAGCCAGAGGAAACUCUGGUGGAGGCUCGUAGCGAUUCUGACGUGCAAAUCGAUCGUCAAAUUUGGGUAUAGGGGCGAAA
This 893-nucleotide ribosomal RNA is filed under the name Lactifluus sp. RNAcentral's name for it is "partial large subunit ribosomal RNA". It matches the Rfam family "Eukaryotic large subunit ribosomal RNA", at positions 58 to 928 of the family's 3401-position model. Lineage: Eukaryota; Fungi; Basidiomycota; Agaricomycetes; Russulales; Russulaceae. RNAcentral also lists the same sequence under 1 other name. The record is from RNAcentral.